GAGUUUGAUCAUGGCUCAGGAUGAACGCUAGCGGGAGGCUUAACACAUGCAAGUCGAGGGGUAUCAGUAGCAAUAUUGAGAGACCGGCGCACGGGUGAGUAACGCGUAUGCAACCUGCCCUUUACCGGGGGAUAGCCCGUAGAAAUGCGGAUUAAUACCCCAUAGUUCCCUGUUGCUGCAUGGCAAUUGGGAUAAAGCCUAGGUGGUAAAGGAUGGGCAUGCGCGACAUUAGCUAGUUGGUGAGGUAACGGCUCACCAAGGCUGCGAUGUCUAGGGGUUCUGAGAGGAUUCACCCCCACACUGGUACUGAGACACGGACCAGACUCCUACGGGAGGCAGCAGUAAGGAAUAUUGGUCAAUGGACGCAAGUCUGAACCAGCCAUGCCGCGUGCAGGAAGACAGCCCUACGGGUUGUAAACUGCUUUUGUACGGGAAAAAACCUCCGGUCGUGCACCGGAGCUGAUGGUACCGUAAGAAUAAGCAUCGGCUAACUCCGUGCCAGCAGCCGCGGUAAUACGGAGGAUGCAAGCGUUAUCCGGAUUCAUUGGGUUUAAAGGGUGCGCAGGCGGAAUGGUAAGUCAGUGGUGAAAUCCUACGGCUCGACCGUAGAACUGCCAUUGAUACUGUCGUUCUUGAGUACACUUGAAGUGGGCGGAAUGUGUCAUGUAGCGGUGAAAUGCUUAGAUAUGACAAGGAACACCGAUCGCGAAGGCAGCUCACUAA
RNAcentral lists this ribosomal RNA (723 nucleotides) under uncultured bacterium. RNAcentral describes it as "bacterial SSU rRNA". It matches the Rfam family "Bacterial small subunit ribosomal RNA", at positions 9 to 732 of the family's 1533-position model. The record is from RNAcentral.